AUCUCGGUUUCCCCGCCCCGAGCGCUCCGACCGCUCCUCGGCGACGGCGAUUAGCUUUGCGUGCGCCUGCGCGAUCUCAGUCUGCGCCUGCGCAGGUGGGGAGCUCCUGUAACUACUGGUGACCGCGCUGCAUUCUUUCGACUUCAUUUAGCGCCGCGGAGUUUCGUCCUCGUCGGGACUGGGUUGCCCCGAGGCCGACGCCGCUAGGACCGCGUGGGCAGGAGAUCUCGGUUGUCCCCAUUUUUUUUUGGUUUUGGGGGUUUUUUUGUUUUGUUUUGGUACCAGGGAUCGAACUCCGGACCUUGCAGUUGCGAGGCAGACGUGCCACUGAGCUAAAUCCCCGGCCUCAUUGUUCCCAAUUUUCAAAUAAAAUCUCAAUUUUUCGUGUG
Molecule: long non-coding RNA, 389 nt
Organism: Heterocephalus glaber (naked mole-rat)
Lineage: Eukaryota; Metazoa; Chordata; Mammalia; Rodentia; Bathyergidae
Source: RefSeq, a predicted model, not a curated record